Molecule: ribosomal RNA, 500 nt
Filed under: uncultured Glomeromycotina
Lineage: Eukaryota; Fungi; Glomeromycota
Description: partial small subunit ribosomal RNA
Rfam family: Eukaryotic small subunit ribosomal RNA
Source: RNAcentral
CCAAUAGCGUAUAUUAAAGUUGUUGCAGUUAAAAAGCUCGUAGUUGAAUUUCGGGAUCAAUAUGUCGGUCGUGCCUUCGGUACGUACUGGUAUCAUUGGUCUCUCCUUUCUGACGAACCAUGAUGUCAUUAAUUUGGUGUUAUGGGGAGUUAGGACUGUUACUUUGAAAAAAUUAGAGUGUUUAAAGCAGGCUUUAGCUUGAAUACAUUAGCAUGGAAUAAUGAAAUAGGACGUUCGAACCUAUUUUGUUGGUUUCUAGGAUCAACGUAAUGAUUAAUAGGGAUAGUUGGGGGCAUUAGUAUUCAAUUGUCAGAGGUGAAAUUCUUGGAUUUAUUGAAGACUAACUACUGCGAAAGCAUUUGCCAAGGAUGUUUACAUUAAUCAAGAACGAAAGUUAGGGGAUCGAAGACGAUCAGAUACCGUCGUAGUCUUAACCAUAAACUAUGCCGACUAGGGAUCGGAUGAUGUUAAUUUUUUAAUGACUCAUUCGGCGCCUUACG